GAUGAACGCUGGCGGCGUGCCCAAUACAUGCAAGUCGAGCGAACGGACGAGAAGCUUGCUUCUCUGAUGUUAGCGGCGGACGGGUGAGUAACACGUGGAUAACCCACCGAUAAGACUGGGAUAACUUCGGGAAACCGGAGCUAAUACCGGAUAAUAUUUUGAACCGCAUGGUUCAAAAGUGAAAGACGGUCUUGCUGUCACUUAUAGAUGGAUCCGCGCUGCAUUAGCUAGUUGGUAAGGUAACGGCUUACCAAGGCAACGAUGCAUAGCCGACCUGAGAGGGUGAUCGGCCACACUGGAACUGAGACACGGUCCAGACUCCUACGGGAGGCAGCAGUAGGGAAUCUUCCGCAAUGGGCGAAAGCCUGACGGAGCAACGCCGCGUGAGUGAUGAAGGUCUUCGGAUCGUAAAACUCUGUUAUUAGGGAAGAACAUAUGUGUAAGUAACUGUGCACAUCUUGACGGUACCUAAUCAGAAAGCCACGGCUAACUACGUGCCAGCAGCCGCGGUAAUACGUAGGUGGCAAGCGUUAUCCGGAAUUAUUGGGCGUAAAGCGCGCGUAGGCGGUUUUUUAAGUCUGAUGUGAAAGCCCACGGCUCAACCGUGGAGGGUCAUUGGAAACUGGAAAACUUGAGUGCAGAAGAGGAAAGUGGAAUUCCAUGUGUAGCGGUGAAAUGCGCAGAGAUAUGGAGGAACACCAGUGGCGAAGGCGACUUUCUGGUCUGUAACUGACGCUGAUGUGCGAAAGCGUGGGGAUCAAACAGGAUUAGAUACCCUGGUAGUCCACGCCGUAAACGAUGAGUGCUAAGUGUUAGGGGGUUUCCGCCCCUUAGUGCUGCAGCUAACGCAUUAAGCACUCCGCCUGGGGAGUACGACCGCAAGGUUGAAACUCAAAGGAAUUGACGGGGACCCGCACAAGCGGUGGAGCAUGUGGUUUAAUUCGAAGCAACGCGAAGAACCUUACCAAAUCUUGACAUCCUUUGACAACUCUAGAGAUAGAGCCUUCCCCUUCGGGGGACAAAGUGACAGGUGGUGCAUGGUUGUCGUCAGCUCGUGUCGUGAGAUGUUGGGUUAAGUCCCGCAACGAGCGCAACCCUUAAGCUUAGUUGCCAUCAUUAAGUUGGGCACUCUAAGUUGACUGCCGGUGACAAACCGGAGGAAGGUGGGGAUGACGUCAAAUCAUCAUGCCCCUUAUGAUUUGGGCUACACACGUGCUACAAUGGACAAUACAAAGGGCAGCGAAACCGCGAGGUCAAGCAAAUCCCAUAAAGUUGUUCUCAGUUCGGAUUGUAGUCUGCAACUCGACUACAUGAAGCUGGAAUCGCUAGUAAUCGUAGAUCAGCAUGCUACGGUGAAUACGUUCCCGGGUCU
This 1372-nucleotide ribosomal RNA is filed under the name uncultured bacterium. RNAcentral describes it as "bacterial SSU rRNA". It matches the Rfam family "Bacterial small subunit ribosomal RNA", at positions 28 to 1381 of the family's 1533-position model. The record is from RNAcentral.